GAUGAACGCUAGCUACAGGCUUAACACAUGCAAGUCGAGGGGAAACGACAUCGAAAGCUUGCUUUUGAUGGGCGUCGACCGGCGCACGGGUGAGUAACGCGUAUCCAACCUGCCCAUCACUUGGGAAUAACCUUGCGAAAGUAAGACUAAUACCCAAUGACAUCCCACGAAGACAUCUGAAUGGGAUUAAAGAUUUAUCGGUGAUGGAUGGGGAUGCGUCUGAUUAGCUUGUUGGCGGGGUAACGGCCCACCAAGGCAACGAUCAGUAGGGGUUCUGAGAGGAAGGUCCCCCACAUUGGGACCAAGACACGGUCCAAACUCCUACGGGAGGCAGCAGUGAGGAAUAUUGGUCAAUGGGCGAGAGCCUGAACCAGCCAAGUAGCGUGCAGGAUGACGGCCCUAUGGGUUGUAAACUGCUUUUAUAAGGGAAUAAAGUGGGUCUCGUGAGACUUUUUGCAUGUACCUUAUGAAUAAGGACCGGCUAAUUCCGUG
Molecule: ribosomal RNA, 492 nt
Filed under: uncultured bacterium
Lineage: Bacteria
Description: partial 16S ribosomal RNA
Rfam family: Bacterial small subunit ribosomal RNA
Source: RNAcentral